This 447-nucleotide ribosomal RNA is filed under the name Massilia sp. 01WB03.3-36. RNAcentral describes it as "bacterial SSU rRNA". It matches the Rfam family "Bacterial small subunit ribosomal RNA", at positions 14 to 463 of the family's 1533-position model. The record is from RNAcentral. Lineage: Bacteria; Pseudomonadati; Pseudomonadota; Betaproteobacteria; Burkholderiales; Oxalobacteraceae.
UGAUCCUGGCUCAGAUUGAACGCUGGCGGCAUGCUUUACACAUGCAAGUCGAACGGUAACAGGGAGCUUGCUCCGCUGACGAGUGGCGAACGGGUGAGUAAUAUAUCGGAACGUACCCAAGAGUGGGGGAUAACGUAGCGAAAGUUACGCUAAUACCGCAUACGAUCUAAGGAUGAAAGCAGGGGACCGCAAGGCCUUGUGCUCCUGGAGCGGCCGAUAUCUGAUUAGCUAGUUGGUAGGGUAAAGGCCUACCAAGGCAUCGAUCAGUAGCUGGUCUGAGAGGACGACCAGCCACACUGGAACUGAGACACGGUCCAGACUCCUACGGGAGGCAGCAGUGGGGAAUUUUGGACAAUGGGCGCAAGCCUGAUCCAGCAAUGCCGCGUGAGUGAAGAAGGCCUUCGGGUUGUAAAGCUCUUUUGUCAGGGAAGAAACGGGACGAGGAUA